RNAcentral lists this ribosomal RNA (253 nucleotides) under uncultured bacterium. RNAcentral's name for it is "partial 16S ribosomal RNA". It matches the Rfam family "Bacterial small subunit ribosomal RNA", at positions 524 to 776 of the family's 1533-position model. The record is from RNAcentral.
UACGUAGGGGGCAAGCGUUGUCCGGAAUCAUUGGGCGUAAAGAGCGUGUAGGCGGUCCGUUAAGUCGGCUGUGAAAGUCCAGGGCUCAACCCUGGGAUGCCGGCCGAUACUGGCGGACUAGAGUCCGGAAGAGGCAAGUGGAAUUCCCGGUGUAGCGGUGAAAUGCGCAGAUAUCGGGAGGAACACCAAUGGCGAAGGCAGCUCGCUGGGACGGUACUGACGCUGAGACGCGAAAGCGUGGGGAGCAAACAGG